RNAcentral lists this ribosomal RNA (429 nucleotides) under Chloroflexota bacterium. Its description in RNAcentral is "Chloroflexi bacterium partial 16S ribosomal RNA". It matches the Rfam family "Bacterial small subunit ribosomal RNA", at positions 355 to 776 of the family's 1533-position model. The record is from RNAcentral. Lineage: Bacteria; Bacillati; Chloroflexota.
UGGGGAAUAUUGCACAAUGGGCGCAAGCCUGAUGCAGCCAUGCCGCGUGUGUGAAGAAGGCCUUCGGGUUGUAAAGCACUUUCAGCGGGGAGGAAGGCGUUAAGGUUAAUAACCUUGGCGAUUGACGUUACCCGCAGAAGAAGCACCGGCUAACUCCGUGCCAGCAGCCGCAGUAAUACGGAGGGUGCAAGCGUUAAUCGGAAUUACUGGGCGUAAAGCGCACGCAGGCGGUCUGUCAAGUCGGAUGUGAAAUCCCCGGGCUCAACCUGGGAACUGCAUUCGAAACUGGCAGGCUAGAGUCUUGUAGAGGGGGGUAGAAUUCCAGGUGUAGCGGUGAAAUGCGUAGAGAUCUGGAGGAAUACCGGUGGCGAAGGCGGCCCCCUGGACAAAGACUGACGCUCAGGUGCGAAAGCGUGGGGAGCAAACAGG